AUUGAACGCUGGCGGCAUGCUUUACACAUGCAAGUCGGACGGCAGCACAGAGAAGCUUGCUUCUUGGGUGGCGAGUGGCGAACGGGUGAGUAAUAUAUCGGAACGUACCGAGUAAUGGGGGAUAACUAAUCGAAAGAUUAGCUAAUACCGCAUAUUCUCUGAGGAGGAAAGCAGGGGACCUUCGGGCCUUGCGUUAUUCGAGCGGCCGAUAUCUGAUUAGCUAGUUGGUGGGGUAAAGGCCUACCAAGGCGACGAUCAGUAGCGGGUCUGAGAGGAUGAUCCGCCACACUGGGACUGAGACACGGCCCAGACUCCUACGGGAGGCAGCAGUGGGGAAUUUUGGACAAUGGGCGCAAGCCUGAUCUAGCCAUGCCGCGUGUCUGAAGAGGGCCUUCGGGUUGUAAAGGACUUUUGUCAGGGAAGAAAAGGCUGUUGCUAAUACCGACAGCUGAUGACGGUACCUGAAGAAUAAGCACCGGCUAACUACGUG
RNAcentral lists this ribosomal RNA (490 nucleotides) under uncultured bacterium. Its description in RNAcentral is "partial 16S ribosomal RNA". It matches the Rfam family "Bacterial small subunit ribosomal RNA", at positions 30 to 507 of the family's 1533-position model. The record is from RNAcentral.